Molecule: ribosomal RNA, 519 nt
Filed under: uncultured bacterium
Lineage: Bacteria
Description: bacterial SSU rRNA
Rfam family: Bacterial small subunit ribosomal RNA
Source: RNAcentral
AGGGUUCGAGUUCUGGCUCAGGAUGAACGCUAGCGAUAGGCUUAACACAUGCAAGUCGAGGGGCAGCACGGUGUAGCAAUACACUGGUGGCGACCGGCGUACGGGUGCGUAACACGUAUGCAACCUACCCGCUAUUGGGGGAUAACCCGGCGAAAGUCGGACUAAUAUCCCAUAUUAUUCUUACCGGGCAUCCGGUGAGUCUGAAAGAUUUAUCGAUUGCGGAUGGGCAUGCGGAUGAUUAGCUAGUAGGUGGGGUAACGGCUCACCUAGGCGACGAUCAUUAGGGGUUCUGAGAGGAAGGUCCCCCACACUGGAACUGAGACACGGUCCAGACUCCUACGGGAGGCAGCAGUGAGGAAUAUUGGUCAAUGGGCGCUAGCCUGAACCAGCCAAGUCGCGUGAAAGGAUGACAGACCUAUGGUUUGUAAACUUCUUUUGCAGGGGAGUAAAGUGCGACACGUGUGUUGUAUUGCAAGUACCCUGCGAAUAAGCAUCGGCUAACUCCGUGCCAGCCGCGGC